AUAGCUUCAGCCAUCACUACUCUCUCUGCAAUACCAGACGAAGAAGAAUCAUUUUUCAACGAGGAAAACAAUACUUAUGCAAAUGACGAAACCAAAAACCAGUUUGGAAAAAGCACUUCUCUAAGUAGCCGCUUCCUUGCCUCCCGGCCGACUGCCAUGACUUGCGACAAAAACCCUAAGGUUUGUCAGGCGUCGGGCAGCGCAGGGCCGGAUUGCUGCAACAAGAAAUGCGUGGACAGAAACACAGACACAGCGAACUGCGGCAAGUGUGGGAGGAAAUGCAAUUACGCAGAGAUUUGCUGCGAAGGUAAGUGUGUGAAUCCGAUGUUAGACAAGGAAAACUGCGGCAGCUGCAACAACACGUGCACGAAAAGAAAGGAAUGUGCAGCUAUGCAUGAACACUAA
This 405-nucleotide long non-coding RNA is filed under the name Prunus dulcis (almond). Its description in RNAcentral is "sRNA ncRNA". Lineage: Eukaryota; Viridiplantae; Streptophyta; Magnoliopsida; Rosales; Rosaceae. The record is from RNAcentral.